CCUGGCUCAGGAUGAACGCUGGCGGCGCGCCUAACACAUGCAAGUCGAACGAGCGAGAGAGASCUUGCUUUCUYGAGCGAGUGGCGAACGGGUGAKUAACGSGUGAGGAACCUGCYUCAAAGAGGGGGACAACAGUUGGAAACGASUGCUAAUACCGCAUAAGUCCACGGCUCGGCAUCGAGCAGGGGGAAAAGGAGCAAUCCGCUUWGAGAUGGCCUCGCGUCCGAUUAGCUAGUUGGUGAGGUAACGGCCCACCAAGGCAACGAUCGGUAGCCGGACUGAGAGGUUGAACGGCCACAUUGGGACUGAGACACGGCCCAGACUCCUACGGGAGGCAGCAGUGGGGAAUAUUGCACAAUGGGGGAAACCCUGAUGCAGCGACGCCGCGUGGAGGAAGAAGGUCUUCGGAUUGUAAACUCCUGUUGUUGGGGAAGAUAAUGACGGUACCCAACAAGGAAGUGACGGCUAACUACGUGCCAGCAGCCGCGGUAAAACGUAGGUCACAAGCGUUGUCCGGAAUUACUGGGUGUAAAGGGAGCGCAGGCGGGAAGACAAGUUGGGAGUGAAAUCUAUGGGCUCAACCCACAAACUGCUUUCAAAACUGUUUUUCUUGAGUAGUGCAGAGGUAGGCGGAAUUCCCGGUGUAGCGGUGGAAUGUGUAGAUAUCGGGAAGAACACCAAUGGCGAAGGCAGGUCUCUGGGCCGUCACUGACGCUGAGGAGCGAAAGCGUGGGGAGCGAACAGGAUUAGAUACCCUGGUAGUCCACGCCGUAAACGGUGGAUGCUGGAUGUGGGGACCAUUCCACGGUCUCCGUGUCGGAGCCAACGCGUUAAGCAUCCCGCCUGGGGAGUACGGCCGCAAGGCUAAAACUCAAAGAAAUUGACGGA
This 888-nucleotide ribosomal RNA is filed under the name uncultured bacterium. RNAcentral's name for it is "bacterial SSU rRNA". It matches the Rfam family "Bacterial small subunit ribosomal RNA", at positions 18 to 917 of the family's 1533-position model. The record is from RNAcentral.